CGCUCAUCCAGAGGGGCAGAGGGAAACGGCCCGUUGAAGCCCCGGCAACCCUCCAGCCGGUCUCCGUCGUGACAGUGCGAUCCGCAGCAGCGGACAGCGCCCGUCCACGCCGCGAGGCUCCCGGCUAGGGAAGGUGCCAAAUCCGUCUCAUGGCGAGAUGCGCCAUGAGGAAGAUGAGGA
RNAcentral lists this non-coding RNA (180 nucleotides) under Streptomyces tsukubensis. RNAcentral's name for it is "SAM-I sequence". It matches the Rfam family "SAM riboswitch aptamer (S box leader)". From Rfam's summary of the family: The SAM riboswitch is found upstream of a number of genes which code for proteins involved in methionine or cysteine biosynthesis in Gram-positive bacteria. The SAM riboswitch acts at the level of transcription termination control. The record is from RNAcentral. Lineage: Bacteria; Bacillati; Actinomycetota; Actinomycetes; Kitasatosporales; Streptomycetaceae.